AGGCAGCAGUGAGGAAUAUUGCGCAAUGGGGGAAACCCUGACGCAGCGACGCCGCGUGAGUGAGGAAGGUUUUCGGAUCGUAAAGCUCUGUCAGAAGGGAAGAAGUGUUAUAUGGUUAACACCCAUAUAAUUUGACGGUACCUUCAGAGGAAGCACCGGCUAACUCCGUGCCAGCAGCCGCGGUAAUACGGAGGGUGCAAGCGUUGUUCGGAAUUACUGGGCGUAAAGGGCGCGUAGGCGGCUGGAUAAGUCAGAUGUGAAAGUCCAUGGCUCAACUGUGGAAGUGCAUUUGAAACUGUCCGGCUUGAGUAUCGGAGGGGAGUGUGGAAUUCCCGGUGUAGAGGUGAAAUUCGUAGAGAUCGGGAGGAACACCGGUGGCGAAGGCGACACUCUGGACGAAUACUGACGCUGAAGCGCGAAAGCGUGGGGAGCAAACAGGAUUAGAUACCCUGCUAGUCCACGCCGUAAACUAUGUGAUCUAGGGGUAUGGGGUGUUAAUCCCUCCUGUCACGUAGCUAUCCCAUUAGGUUCGCCCCCUGGGCAAGAUCGUUGCCCUCAUUAGAUACUCACCCGAUU
Molecule: ribosomal RNA, 576 nt
Filed under: uncultured delta proteobacterium
Lineage: Bacteria; Deltaproteobacteria
Description: bacterial SSU rRNA
Rfam family: Bacterial small subunit ribosomal RNA
Source: RNAcentral